Molecule: ribosomal RNA, 600 nt
Filed under: Blastocystis sp.
Lineage: Eukaryota; Bigyra; Opalinata; Blastocystidae
Also listed under: 1 other name
Description: SSU rRNA
Rfam family: Eukaryotic small subunit ribosomal RNA
Source: RNAcentral
AUCUGGUUGAUCCUGCCAGUAGUCAUACGCUCGUCUCAAAGAUUAAGCCAUGCAUGUGUAAGUAUAAAUAGUUAACUUUGAAACUGCGAAUGGCUCAUUAUAUCAGUUAUAGUUUAUUUGAUGAAGAAUACUAAUUGGAUAACCGUAGUAAUUCUAGAGCUAAUACAUGUAUAAAGUCUUGUAGACUGCAUUUAUUAGAAUGAAAACCAUAGGUUUCGGCCUAUUCGUGAGUAAUAAUAACUAAUCAUAUCGUAUGCUUAUGUAACGAUGUGUCUUUCAAGUUUCUGCCCUAUCAGCUUUCGAUGGUAGUGUAUUGGACUACCAUGGCAGUAACGGGUAACGAAGAAUUUGGGUUCGAUUUCGGAGAGGGAGCCUGAGAGAUGGCUACCACAUCCAAGGAAGGCAGCAGGCGCGUAAAUUACCCUAUCCUGACACAGGGAGGUAGUGACAAUAAAUCACAAUGCGGAACAAUGUUUUGCAAUUGGAUUGAGAACAACGUACAAACCUUAUCGAUAAACAAUUGGAGGGCAAGUCUGGUGCCAGCAGCCGCGGUAAUUCCAGCUCCAAUAGCGUAUAUUAACGUUGUUGCAGUUAAAAAGC